GAUGAACGCUGGCGGCGUGGAUAAGGCAUGCAAGUCGAACGGAUCUUCUUUUUCCGGAGAAUGAGAUUACAUCAAGUUCAAAGGUCGUUGAAGAUUAGUGGCAGACGAGGUAGUAACACGUGGGUAUUUCCCCCUAAGUCGUGAACAACUCCGCGAAAGCGGAGCUAAUACACGAUGGUCUCGCAAGAGUAAAGAUUUAUCGCUUAGGGAAAAGCCUGCGGAGUAUCAGCUAGAUGGUAGGGUAACGGCCUACCAUGGCUAUGACGCUUAGGGGAGCUGAGAGGCUGACCCCCACCGAUGGGACUGAGACACGGCCCAUACACCUACGGGUGGCUGCAGUCAAGAACCUUUCACAAUGGACGAAAGUCUGAUGGAGCGACGCCGCGUGAUUGAUGAAGUCCCUCUGGGACGUAAAGAUCUUUUAUGAGGGAAGAAGUUUAUUGACGGUACCUCAUGAAUAAGUAGCUUCUAAUCUCGUGC
This 480-nucleotide ribosomal RNA is filed under the name uncultured bacterium. Its description in RNAcentral is "bacterial SSU rRNA". It matches the Rfam family "Bacterial small subunit ribosomal RNA", at positions 28 to 508 of the family's 1533-position model. The record is from RNAcentral.